This 468-nucleotide ribosomal RNA is filed under the name uncultured bacterium. RNAcentral's name for it is "partial 16S ribosomal RNA". It matches the Rfam family "Bacterial small subunit ribosomal RNA", at positions 28 to 507 of the family's 1533-position model. The record is from RNAcentral.
GACGAACGCUGGCGGCGCGCCUAACACAUGCAAGUCGAACGGAGCUGCGAGAAGCUUGCUUUUCUUAGCUUAGUGGCGAACGGGUGAGUAACGCGUGAGUAACCUGCCCUGGAGUGGGGGGCAACAGUUGGAAACGACUGCUAAUACCGCAUAAGCCCACGAUCCGGCAUCGGAUUGAGGGAAAAGGAUUUAUUCGCUUCAGGAUGGACUCGCGUCCAAUUAGCUAGUUGGUGAGGUAACGGCCCACCAAGGCGACGAUUGGUAGCCGGACUGAGAGGUUGAACGGCCACAUUGGGACUGAGACACGGCCCAGACUCCUACGGGAGGCAGCAGUGGGGGAUAUUGCACAAUGGGGGAAACCCUGAUGCAGCGACGCCGCGUGGAGGAAGAAGGUUUUCGGAUUGUAAACUCCUGUCGUUAGGGACGAUAAUGACGGUACCUAACAAGAAAGCACCGGCUAACUACGUG